This 253-nucleotide ribosomal RNA is filed under the name uncultured bacterium. RNAcentral's name for it is "partial 16S ribosomal RNA". It matches the Rfam family "Bacterial small subunit ribosomal RNA", at positions 524 to 776 of the family's 1533-position model. The record is from RNAcentral.
UACGGAGGGAGCUAGCGUUGUUCGGAAUUACUGGGCGUAAAGCGCGUGUAGGUGGCCACGCAAGUCAGGUGUGAAAGCCCAGGGCUCAACCCUGGAAGUGCACAUGAUACUACGUGGCUGGAGUACUGAAGAGGAGAGCGGAAUUCCCGGUGUAGAGGUGAAAUUCGUAGAUAUCGGGAGGAACACCAGUGGCGAAGGCGGCUCUCUGGGCAGAUACUGACACUGAGACGCGAAAGCGUGGGUAGCAAACAGG